RNAcentral lists this ribosomal RNA (230 nucleotides) under uncultured bacterium. RNAcentral's name for it is "partial 16S ribosomal RNA". It matches the Rfam family "Bacterial small subunit ribosomal RNA", at positions 15 to 228 of the family's 1533-position model. The record is from RNAcentral.
GAUCAUGGCUCAGGACGAACGCUGGCGGCGUGCUUAACACAUGCAAGUCGAACGAGAAUCUGCGGAACGAGGAUUCGUCCAAGUGAAGCAGAGGACAGUGGCGGACGGGUGAGUAACGCGUGAGGAACCUGCCUUUCAGAGGGGGACAACAGUUGGAAACGACUGCUAAUACCGCAUAACACAUGGGUGUCGCAUGGCACUGAUGUCAAAGAUUUAUCGCUGAAAGACGG